This 384-nucleotide ribosomal RNA is filed under the name uncultured bacterium. RNAcentral describes it as "bacterial SSU rRNA". It matches the Rfam family "Bacterial small subunit ribosomal RNA", at positions 28 to 407 of the family's 1533-position model. The record is from RNAcentral.
GAUGAACGCUAGCUACAGGCUUAACACAUGCAAGUCGAGGGGCAGCAUCAUCAAAGCUUGCUUUGAUGGAUGGCGACCGGCGCACGGGUGAGUAACACGUAUCCAACCUGCCGACAACACUGGGAUAGCCUUUCGAAAGAAAGAUUAAUACCGGAUGGCAUAGUUUUCCGCAUGGGAUAAUUAUUAAAGAAUUUCGGUUGUCGAUGGGGAUGCGUUCCAUUAGGCAGUUGGCGGGGUAACGGCCACCAAACCUACGAUGGAUAGGGGUUCUGAGAGGAAGGUCCCCACAUUGGAACUGAGACACGGUCCAAACUCCUACGGGAGGCAGCAGUGAGGAAUAUUGGUCAAUGGACGAGAGUCUGAACCAGCCAAGUAGCGUGAAGG